This is a small nucleolar RNA of Copidosoma floridanum, 66 nucleotides long. RefSeq annotates it as small nucleolar RNA SNORD34. The record is from RefSeq and is a predicted model, not a curated record. NCBI's taxonomy places the organism in Eukaryota, Metazoa, Arthropoda, Insecta, Hymenoptera, Encyrtidae.
CUUUUUCCAUGAUUAUUUGAUUACCUACAUUAUUUGAUUUUUAAGUGAAAACAAAUUCAGAAUGAG